RNAcentral lists this ribosomal RNA (449 nucleotides) under uncultured bacterium. RNAcentral's name for it is "partial 16S ribosomal RNA". It matches the Rfam family "Bacterial small subunit ribosomal RNA", at positions 29 to 523 of the family's 1533-position model. The record is from RNAcentral.
AGUGAACGCUGGCGGUAGGCCUAACACAUGCAAGUCGAACGGAUCCUUCGGGAUUAGUGGCGGACGGGUGAGUAACACGUGGGAACGUGCCCUUUGGUUCGGAACAACUCAGGGAAACUUGAGCUAAUACCGGAUGUGCCCUUCGGGGGAAAGAUUUAUCGCCAUUGGAGCGGCCCGCGUCUGAUUAGCUAGUUGGUGAGGUAAAGGCUCACCAAGGCGACGAUCAGUAGCUGAUCUGAGAGGAUGAUCAGCCACAUUGGGACUGAGACACGGCCCAAACUCCUACGGGAGGCAGCAGUGGGGAAUCUUGCGCAAUGGGCGAAAGCCUGACGCAGCCAUGCCGCGUGAAUGAUGAAGGUCUUAGGAUUGUAAAAUUCUUUCACCGGGGACGAUAAUGACGGUACCCGGAGAAGAAGCCCCGGCUAACUUCGUGCCAGCCGCCGCGGUAA